RNAcentral lists this ribosomal RNA (226 nucleotides) under uncultured bacterium. Its description in RNAcentral is "partial 16S ribosomal RNA". It matches the Rfam family "Bacterial small subunit ribosomal RNA", at positions 524 to 745 of the family's 1533-position model. The record is from RNAcentral.
GACGUAGGGUGCGAGCGUUGUCCGGAUUUAUUGGGCGUAAAGGAGCUCGUAGGCGGUGUGUUCGCGUCGGCCGUGAAAACCUGCAGCUUAACUGUGGGCGUGCGGUCGAUACGGGCAUCACUGGAGUUCGGCAGGGGAGACUGGAAGUUCCUGGUGUAGCGGUGAAAUGCGCAGAUAUCAGGAGGAACACCGGUGGCGAAGGCGGGUCUCUGGGCCGAUACUGACG